UCGCAAACCCACUAUGUUGAUUUUCUCAUGGCACGGCUCAAUUUUAGCACUGAUGGUACAGCUGUGAACUCAGAGCUGGUUCAGAUAUCGUCCGUGCAUGGUGCUUCGUGAUUUUCGGUGGCCUCCGAUUGCAAUAACUAACGAUGAAGUUGCUGCUAUUGCUCAGCGUUGUGAUGUUAGCGGUCGUGAAUGCCCAACCACUCUAUCGCUACUUUGGUCCACCACGUCUGUAUCCGAUAGGAGGGUAUCCGGGCUAUAUGGGUCGGUGGGUUGGUAGGUAUGGUGGAGCAGGAGCAGGAGUGCUAUUUGCAGACGGACAUGGACCCCCGGGAACUAGAGAGUACCACGCAUCACACGGACACUUCCAUCCACAUUAAACGGAUUGAUAUACAGUACAAACUGCGGUGAUGUCAAGUCCGAGUCUAGCCAACCACUCCUAGCAUUGUGUGUUUAUUGUGUGUUUGUGCUUUUUUGCUCUGAAUAAAACUGUGAUAUGUGGAA
Long non-coding RNA from Mercenaria mercenaria, 501 nucleotides. RefSeq lists it as uncharacterized. NCBI's taxonomy places the organism in Eukaryota, Metazoa, Mollusca, Bivalvia, Venerida, Veneridae. The transcript is spliced from 3 exons. The record is from RefSeq and is a predicted model, not a curated record.